GGGUGGGGGCAUAGAGGAUUAGAGUACGUGGCUAUGAAUCACAGUGUUAGGGGUUCGAAUCCCUUCUCGCCCA
Molecule: transfer RNA, 73 nt
Filed under: Nicotiana sylvestris (wood tobacco)
Lineage: Eukaryota; Viridiplantae; Streptophyta; Magnoliopsida; Solanales; Solanaceae
Also listed under: 1 other name
Rfam family: tRNA
About the family: Transfer RNA (tRNA) molecules are approximately 80 nucleotides in length.
Source: Rfam by way of RNAcentral